Molecule: ribosomal RNA, 620 nt
Filed under: uncultured bacterium
Lineage: Bacteria
Description: bacterial SSU rRNA
Rfam family: Bacterial small subunit ribosomal RNA
Source: RNAcentral
ACAUGCAAGUCGAACGGAAACGAUGGGAGCUUGCUCCCAGGCGUCGAGUGGCGGACGGUGAGUAAUACUUAGGAAUCUACCCAGUAGCGGGGGACAACUCGAGGAAACUCGAGCUAAUACCGCAUACGCCCUACGGGGGAAAGCAGGGGAUCUUCGGACCUUGCACUAUUGGAUGAGCCUAAGUCGGAUUAGCUUGUUGGUGAGGUAAAGGCUCACCAAGGCGACGAUCCGUAGCUGGUCUGAGAGGACGAUCAGCCACACUGGGACUGAGACACGGCCCAGACUCCUACGGGAGGCAGCAGUGGGGAAUAUUGGACAAUGGGGGCAACCCUGAUCCAGCAAUGCCGCGUGUGUGAAGAAGACCUGCGGGUUGUAAAGCACUUUCAGUAGAGAAGAAAAGCCUACGGUUAAUACCCGUAAGUCUUGACGUUACCUACAGAAGAAGCUCCGGCUAACUCCGUGCCAGCAGCCGCGGUAAUACGGAGGGAGCGAGCGUUAAUCGGAAUUACUGGGCGUAAAGCGCGCGUAGGCGGCUUUGUAAGUCGGAUGUGAAAGCCCUGGGCUCAACCUGGGAAUGGCAUUCGAUACUGCAGAGCUAGAGUAUGGUAGAGGGAAGUGGA